RNAcentral lists this transfer RNA (71 nucleotides) under human gut metagenome. It matches the Rfam family "tRNA". Rfam says of the family: Transfer RNA (tRNA) molecules are approximately 80 nucleotides in length. Their secondary structure includes four short double-helical elements and three loops (D, anti-codon, and T loops). Further hydrogen bonds mediate the characteristic L-shaped molecular structure. tRNAs have two regions of fundamental functional importance: the anti-codon, which is responsible for specific mRNA codon recognition, and the 3' end, to which the tRNAs corresponding amino acid is attached (by aminoacyl-tRNA synthetases). tRNAs cope with the degeneracy of the genetic code in two manners: having more than one tRNA (with a specific anti-codon) for a particular amino acid; and 'wobble' base-pairing, i.e. permitting non-standard base-pairing at the 3rd anti-codon position. The record is from RNAcentral. RNAcentral also lists the same sequence under 2 other names.
GGGGUAUAGCUCAGCUGGGAGAGCGCUUGAAUGGCAUUCAAGAGGUCAGGGGUUCGAUUCCCCUUAUCUCC